GAUGAACGCUAGCUACAGGCUUAACACAUGCAAGUCGAGGGGCAGCAUCAUCAAAGACUUGCUUUGAUGGAUGGCGACCGGCGCACGGGUGAGUAACACGUAUCCAACCUGCCGACAACACUGGGAUAGCCUUUCGAAAGAAGAUUAAUACCGGAUGGCAUAGUUUUCCCGCAUGGGAUAAUUAUUAAAGAAUUUCGGUUGUCGAUGGGAGUGCGUUUCAUUAGGCAGUUGGCGGGGUAACGGCCCACCAAACCUACGAUGGAUAGGGGUUCUGAGAGGAAGGUCCCCCACAUUGGAACUGAGACACGGUCCAAACUCCUACGGGAGGCAGCAGUGAGGAAUAUUGGUCAAUGGACGAGAGUCUGAACCAGCCAAGUAGCGUGAAGGAUGACUGCCCUAUGGGUUGUAAACUUCUUUAUACGGGAAUAAAGUGAGCCACGUGUGGCUUUUUGUAUGUACCGUAUGAAUAAGGAAUCGGCUAACUCCGUG
Molecule: ribosomal RNA, 489 nt
Filed under: uncultured bacterium
Lineage: Bacteria
Description: bacterial SSU rRNA
Rfam family: Bacterial small subunit ribosomal RNA
Source: RNAcentral